This 448-nucleotide ribosomal RNA is filed under the name uncultured bacterium. Its description in RNAcentral is "partial 16S ribosomal RNA". It matches the Rfam family "Bacterial small subunit ribosomal RNA", at positions 330 to 793 of the family's 1533-position model. The record is from RNAcentral.
CCCAGACUCCUACGGGAGGCAGCAGUGGGGGAUAUUGCACAAUGGGGGAAACCCUGAUGCAGCGACGCCGCGUGGGUGAAGAAGCGCCUCGGCGCGUAAAGCCCUGUCAGCAGGGAAGAAAAUGACGGUACCUGAAGAAGAAGCCCCGGCUAACUACGUGCCAGCAGCCGCGGUAAUACGUAGGGAGCGAGCGUUGUCCGGAUUUACUGGGUGUAAAGGGUGCGUAGGCGGCUAUGCAAGUCAGUAGUGAAAUCCAUGGGCUUAACCCAUGAACUGCUAUUGAAACUGCACAGCUUGAGUGAAGUAGAGGUAGGCGGAAUUCCCGGUGUAGCGGUGAAAUGCGUAGAGAUCGGGAGGAACACCAGUGGCGAAGGCGGCCUACUGGGCUUUAACUGACGCUGAGGCACGAAAGCGUGGGUAGCAAACAGGAUUAGAUACCCGGGUAAAG